UAGGGAAUAUUGGUUAAUGGGCGAAAGCCCGAACCAGCAACGCCGCGUGUGCGAUGAAGGCCUUCGGGUCGUAAAGCACUUUUAGAGAGGAAGAGGAAGGACGGUACUCUUUGAAUAAGCUUCGGCUAACUACGUGCCAGCAGCCGCGGUAACACGUAGGAAGCGAGCGUUAUCCGGAUUUACUGGGCGUAAAGCGCGUGUAGGCGGUCUGGUUAGUUGGAUGUGAAAGCUCCCGGCUUAACUGGGAGAGGUCGUUCAAUACUGCCAGACUUGAGAGUGGUAGAGGGAGAUGGAAUUCCGGGUGUAGUGGUGAAAUGCGUAGAUAUCCGGAGGAACACCAGUGGCGAAAGCGAUCUCCUGGACCAUUUCUGACGCUCAGACGCGAAAGCUAGGGUAGCAA
RNAcentral lists this ribosomal RNA (400 nucleotides) under uncultured bacterium. RNAcentral describes it as "bacterial SSU rRNA". It matches the Rfam family "Bacterial small subunit ribosomal RNA", at positions 355 to 771 of the family's 1533-position model. The record is from RNAcentral.